Molecule: ribosomal RNA, 270 nt
Filed under: uncultured bacterium
Lineage: Bacteria
Description: partial 16S ribosomal RNA
Rfam family: Bacterial small subunit ribosomal RNA
Source: RNAcentral
UACGGAGGGUGCAAGCGUUAUCCGGAUUUACUGGGUUUAAAGGGUGCGUAGGUGGGUCUGUAAGUCAGUGGUGAAAUCUCCGAGCUUAACUCGGAAACUGCCAUUGAUACUAUAGAUCUUGAAUUAUCUGGAGGUAAGCGGAAUAUGUCAUGUAGCGGUGAAAUGCUUAGAUAUGACAUAGAACACCAAUUGCGAAGGCAGCUUACUACGGAUCGAUUGACACUGAGGCACGAAAGCGUGGGGAGCAAACAGGAUUAGAACCGUACCGAC